RNAcentral lists this ribosomal RNA (254 nucleotides) under uncultured bacterium. RNAcentral describes it as "partial 16S ribosomal RNA". It matches the Rfam family "Bacterial small subunit ribosomal RNA", at positions 524 to 776 of the family's 1533-position model. The record is from RNAcentral.
UACGUAGGGGGCAAGCGUUGUCCGGAUUUAUUGGGCGUAAAGAGCUCGUAGGCGGCUUGGUAAGUCAGGUGUGAAACCCCCGGGCUCAACCCGGGGACGCCACCUGAUACUGCUAUGGCUUGAGUCCGGUAGGGGAGCGUGGAAUUCCUGGUGUAGCGGUGAAAUGCGCAGAUAUCAGGAGGAACACCAGCGGCGAAGGCGGCGCUCUGGGCCGGAACUGACGCUGAGGAGCGAAAGCGUGGGGAGCGAACGGG